Diachasmimorpha longicaudata is the source of this 365-nucleotide long non-coding RNA. RefSeq lists it as uncharacterized. The transcript is spliced from 3 exons. The record is from RefSeq and is a predicted model, not a curated record. NCBI's taxonomy places the organism in Eukaryota, Metazoa, Arthropoda, Insecta, Hymenoptera, Braconidae.
UCAAUAGUAAUCACUCCCAUUUCAAUCAACUGUCUGUUACUUCAGAUAAAAAACAAACUCUCAUCAUGAAAUUCCUUUCUAUCUUCGUAGUCCUUGCUGUUGUCCUCGCUGCCGCCAGUGGCCAACGUUGCCGAGGGCGUCGCGUCUGGUGUACCAACAGCAGACAAUGCUGUUCAGGACUCUGCCGAAGGGGCCGUGGAUGCGCAUAAAGAGAUGACGCAUUAAGGACCUCCAAAUCGCAAAAAAAACCCCAACGACAACAUUUAUCAAGACUUGUUUGGUGUUGACUCUAUUAUUAUCACCGACAAGUAUUCUCUAUUGACAUGUAAUUAAUGGAUUCACGAAAAUACAAAUAUUCAUGCAUA